Molecule: ribosomal RNA, 253 nt
Filed under: uncultured prokaryote
Description: partial 16S ribosomal RNA
Rfam family: Bacterial small subunit ribosomal RNA
Source: RNAcentral
UACGGAGGGUGCGAGCGUUAAUCGGAAUUACUGGGCGUAAAGGGUGCGUAGGUGGUUUAAUAAGUUAUCUGUGAAAUCCCUGGGCUUAACCUAGGCAGGUCAGAUAAGACUGUUAGACUCGAGUAUGGGAGAGGGUAGUGGAAUUUCCGGUGUAGCGGUGAAAUGCGUAGAGAUCGGAAGGAACACCAGUGGCGAAGACGGCUACCUGGCCUAAUACUGACACUGAGGCACGAAAGCGUGGGGAGCAAACAGG